UUCAGGUUCUGGAUUACUCUCAACUGUUGACGUUCUUUAUAAUUUAUUGUGAAACAUAGUCAAUGUCAACACUAUAGUCAAAAACAUUACACGAGAACAGUCUCUUUCUUUCAAGGAAGGAAGAAGACCACCAGAGGACCGCAGUGGAUCUCUCCACCAUUGAAAUAUCUUUGAAAUCUGGGGAAAACGGCAAAGGAUCCAGGCAGAAGAACUGACGUGGACCACAGCAGAUUUCCAGAGGACUUCACUGAGGAUGCAACAGCCUGACAGACAAUGAGCUAUCAAGAGAGGAUGACGACAGAUCCUGGAAGAAGACCCAACAAGACCCCCACAGGACCAGAGUAGAAUUCUCUUCACUAUCGACUGCAAUCCAGCUGAAAAUAAGGGAGGAGCAUUUCAUUAUUUGGUUUUAACUUACAGAAUUUUAUUUUUUAAGUUGAUGAUCAAAUAUUUACUCAAUGCUGUGAAACAUGUAACUGACUUAUAUCUUUUAUCAAUAUCUUUAAAAUCUGGGUAAAAUAAGGGAAAGAUUAAGAUCCAGGCAGAACACCUCAAGAGGACCCCGGCAGAUUUCCAGAGCACUCCACUGAGGAUGCAACAACCCUGCAGACAAUGACAAUACAGAGAGGAUGACUGCAGAUCCAGGAAGGAACCUCCACGGAACCUCAGCUGAAGACAGCAACAACUGAGCAGAGGCC
Molecule: long non-coding RNA, 698 nt
Organism: Larimichthys crocea (large yellow croaker)
Lineage: Eukaryota; Metazoa; Chordata; Actinopteri; Sciaenidae
Exons: 4
Source: RefSeq, a predicted model, not a curated record